UGGGAAGGAUCAUUAUUGGAUAGCAAGAGGCUGUCGCUGGCCCCCUCUUGGGGGGUAAAGUGCACGUCUCUUCCUUUAUCUCCCACCUGUGCACUGAUUUGUAGACCCCUUUGGUGUCUAUGAUAUCACAUACAAGAAUGUAUUAGUUUUGUGUAUUAUAAAACAAAAAGUACAACUUUCAACAAUGGAUCUCUUGGCUCUUGCAUCGAUGAAGAACGCAGCGAAAUGCGAUAAGUAAUGUGAAUUGCAGAAUUCAGUGAAUCAUCGAAUCUUUGAACGCAUCUUGCGCUCCUUGGCAUUCCGAGGAGCAUGCCUGUUUGAGUGUCAUUAAUCUCUCAAAACAUUUGUUUUGGAUUUUGGGGGGGUCAUUGCUGGCUGGUUGGAGCCAGCUCUCCUUAAAAGUAUGGGAUAUGAACGGCCUUCUCCACUCAUUGGUAUGAUAAUUUAUCUAUGCCAGGGUAGUGAAGGGGAAAAGGCUUUGUUGACCAAAUUGACCUCAAAUCAGGUAGGACUACCCGCUGAACUUAAGCAAUC
RNAcentral lists this ribosomal RNA (534 nucleotides) under Amanita esculenta. RNAcentral's name for it is "eukaryotic LSU rRNA". The stretch from base 174 to 327 matches the Rfam family "5.8S ribosomal RNA". Lineage: Eukaryota; Fungi; Basidiomycota; Agaricomycetes; Agaricales; Amanitaceae. The record is from RNAcentral.